Molecule: ribosomal RNA, 253 nt
Filed under: uncultured bacterium
Lineage: Bacteria
Description: partial 16S ribosomal RNA
Rfam family: Bacterial small subunit ribosomal RNA
Source: RNAcentral
UACGGGGGGGGCAAGCGUUGUUCGGAAUUACUGGGCGUAAAGGGCUCGUAGGCGGCCAACUAAGUCAGACGUGAAAUCCCCAGGCUCAACCUGGGGACUGCGUCUGAUACUGGAUGGCUUGAAUCCGGGAGAGGGAUGCAGAAUUCCAGGUGUAGCGGUGAAAUGCGUAGAUAUCUGGAGGAAUACCGGUGGCGAAGGCGGCAUCCUGGACCGGCAUUGACGCUGAGGAGCGAAAGCUAGGGGAGCAAACGGG